GACGAACGCUGGCGGCGUGCUUAACACAUGCAAGUCGAACGGAAAGGCCCCCUUGUGGGGUACUCGAGUGGCGAACGGGUGAGUAACACGUGAGUAACCUACCCUUUACUUUGGGAUAACUUCAGGAAACUGGGGCUAAUACCGGAUAGGAGCUCCUGCUGCAUGGUGGGGGUUGGAAAGUUUCGGCGGUUGGGGAUGGACUCGCGGCUUGUCAGCUUGUUGGUGGGGUAGUGGCUCACCAAGGCUUUGACGGGUAGCCGGCCUGAGAGGGUGACCGGCCACAUUGGGACUGAGAUACGGCCCAGACUCCUACGGGAGGCAGCAGUGGGGAAUAUUGCACAAUGGGCGGAAGCCUGAUGCAGCAACGCCGCGUGCGGGAUGACGGCCUUCGGGUUGUAAACCGCUUUCGCCUGUGACGAAGCGUGAGUGACGGUAAUGGGUAAAGAAGCACCGGCUAACUACGUG
This 465-nucleotide ribosomal RNA is filed under the name uncultured bacterium. RNAcentral describes it as "partial 16S ribosomal RNA". It matches the Rfam family "Bacterial small subunit ribosomal RNA", at positions 28 to 507 of the family's 1533-position model. The record is from RNAcentral.